CCUACGGGAGGCAGCAGUGGGGAAUAUUGCACAAUGGGCGCAAGCCUGAUGCAGCGACGCCGCGUGAGGGAUGACGGCCUUCGGGUUGUAAACCUCUUUCAGUAGGGAAGAAGCGUAAGUGACGGUACCUGCAGAAGAAGCGCCGGCUAACUACGUGCCAGCAGCCGCGGUAAUACGUAGGGCGCAAGCGUUACCGGAAUUAUUGGGCGUAAAGAGCUCGUAGGCGGUUUGUCGCGUCUGCUGUGAAAGACCGGGGCUCAACUCCGGUUCUGCAGUGGGUACGGGCAGACUAGAGUGCAGUAGGGGAGACUGGAAUUCCUGGUGUAGCGGUGAAAUGCGCAGAUACAGGAGGAACACCGAUGGCGAAGGCAGGUCUCUGGGCUGUAACUGACGCUGAGGAGCGAAAGCAGGGGAGCGAACAGAUUAGAUACCCUGGUAGUCCAUGCCGUAAACGUUGGGCACUAGUGUGGGGGCCAUCCACGUUUUCCGCGCCGUACCUAAGCUUCAAUGCCCCACCGGGCCCUCGGGGACACCAGGCCGCUC
RNAcentral lists this ribosomal RNA (543 nucleotides) under Arthrobacter sp. KNF14. RNAcentral describes it as "bacterial SSU rRNA". It matches the Rfam family "Bacterial small subunit ribosomal RNA", at positions 338 to 873 of the family's 1533-position model. Lineage: Bacteria; Bacillati; Actinomycetota; Actinomycetes; Micrococcales; Micrococcaceae. The record is from RNAcentral.